UACGAAGGGUGCAAGCGUUACUCGGAAUUACUGGGCGUAAAGCGUGCGUAGGUGGUUUGUUAAGUCUGAUGUGAAAGCCCUGGGCUCAACCUGGGAACUGCAUUGGAAACUGGCUGACUAGAGUGCGGUAGAGGGGUGUGGAAUUCCCGGUGUAGCAGUGAAAUGCGUAGAUAUCGGGAGGAACAUCUGUGGCGAAGGCGACACCCUGGACCAGCACUGACACUGAGGCACGAAAGCGUGGGGAGCAAACAGGAUUAGAUACCCUGGUAGUCCACGCCCUAAACGAUGCGAACUGGAUGUUGGGGGCAACUUGGCCCUCAGUAUCGAAGCUAACGCGUUAAGUUCGCCGCCUGGGAAGUACGGUCGCAAGACUGAA
RNAcentral lists this ribosomal RNA (376 nucleotides) under uncultured bacterium. RNAcentral's name for it is "bacterial SSU rRNA". It matches the Rfam family "Bacterial small subunit ribosomal RNA", at positions 524 to 898 of the family's 1533-position model. The record is from RNAcentral.